This 238-nucleotide ribosomal RNA is filed under the name uncultured bacterium. RNAcentral's name for it is "partial 16S ribosomal RNA". It matches the Rfam family "Bacterial small subunit ribosomal RNA", at positions 95 to 334 of the family's 1533-position model. The record is from RNAcentral.
CCGGCGCACGGGUGAGUAACGCGUAUGUAAUCUACCUGUAACAGAGGGAUAACCCGGAGAAAUCCGGACUAAUACCUCAUAGCACAUAUUAUUCGCAUGAAUUUUAUGUUAAAGAGACUCGGUUACAGAUGAACAUGCGAUCCAUUAGCUAGUUGGCGGGGUUACGGCCCACCAAGGCAACGAUGGAUAGGGGUUCUGAGAGGAAGGUCCCCCACACUGGUACUGAGACACGGACCAG